UGGAGAGUUUGAUCCUGGCUCAGGAUGAACGCUGGCGGCGUGCCUAAUACAUGCAAGUCGAGCGAACGGACGAGAAGCUUGCUUCUCUGAUGUUAGCGGCGGACGGGUGAGUAACACGUGGAUAACCUACCUAUAAGACUGGGAUAACUUCGGGAAACCGGAGCUAAUACCGGAUAAUAUUUUGAACCGCAUGGUUCAAAAGUGAAAGACGGUCUUGCUGUCACUUAUAGAUGGAUCCGCGCUGCAUUAGCUAGUUGGUAAGGUAACGGCUUACCAAGGCAACGAUGCAUAGCCGACCUGAGAGGGUGAUCGGCCACACUGGAACUGAGACACGGUCCAGACUCCUACGGGAGGCAGCAGUAGGGAAUCUUCCGCAAUGGGCGAAAGCCUGACGGAGCAACGCCGCGUGAGUGAUGAAGGUCUUCGGAUCGUAAAACUCUGUUAUUAGGGAAGAACAUAUGUGUAAGUAACUGUGCACAUCUUGACGGUACCUAAUCAGAAAGCCACGGCUAACUACGUGCCAGCAGCCGCGGUAAUACGUAGGUGGCAAGCGUUAUCCGGAAUUAUUGGGCGUAAAGCGCGCGUAGGCGGUUUUUUAAGUCUGAUGUGAAAGCCCACGGCUCAACCGUGGAGGGUCAUUGGAAACUGGAAAACUUGAGUGCAGAAGAGGAAAGUGGAAUUCCAUGUGUAGCGGUGAAAUGCGCAGAGAUAUGGAGGAACACCAGUGGCGAAGGCGACUUUCUGGUCUGUAACUGACGCUGAUGUGCGAAAGCGUGGGGAUCAAACAGGAUUAGAUACCCUGGUAGUCCACGCCGUAAACGAUGAGUGCUAAGUGUUAGGGGGUUUCCGCCCCUUAGUGCUGCAGCUAACGCAUUAAGCACUCCGCCUGGGGAGUACGACCGCAAGGUUGAAACUCAAAGGAAUUGACGGGGACCCGCACAAGCGGUGGAGCAUGUGGUUUAAUUCGAAGCAACGCGAAGAACCUUACCAAAUCUUGACAUCCUUUGACAACUCUAGAGAUAGAGCCUUCCCCUUCGGGGGACAAAGUGACAGGUGGUGCAUGGUUGUCGUCAGCUCGUGUCGUGAGAUGUUGGGUUAAGUCCCGCAACGAGCGCAACCCUUAAGCUUAGUUGCCAUCAUUAAGUUGGGCACUCUAAGUUGACUGCCGGUGACAAACCGGAGGAAGGUGGGGAUGACAUCAAAUCAUCAUGCCCCUUAUGAUUUGGGCUACACACGUGCUACAAUGGACAAUACAAAGGGCAGCGAAACCGCGAGGUCAAGCAAAUCCCAUAAAGUUGUUCUCAGUUCGGAUUGUAGUCUGCAACUCGACUACAUGAAGCUGGAAUCGCUAGUAAUCGUAGAUCAGCAUGCUACGGUGAAUACGUUCCCGGGUCUUGUACACACCGCCCGUCACACCACGAGAGUUUGUAACACCCGAAGCCGGUGGAGUAACCUUUUAGGAGCCAGCCGUCGAAGGUGGGACAAAUGAUUGGGGUGAAGUCGUAACAAGGUAGCCGUAUCGGAAGGUGCGGCUGGAUCACCUCCUUUCU
Molecule: ribosomal RNA, 1550 nt
Filed under: Staphylococcus aureus
Lineage: Bacteria; Bacillati; Bacillota; Bacilli; Caryophanales; Staphylococcaceae
Description: 16S ribosomal RNA
Rfam family: Bacterial small subunit ribosomal RNA
Source: RNAcentral